This 72-nucleotide transfer RNA is filed under the name Ardenticatenales bacterium. RNAcentral's name for it is "tRNA-Thr". It matches the Rfam family "tRNA". From Rfam's summary of the family: Transfer RNA (tRNA) molecules are approximately 80 nucleotides in length. The record is from RNAcentral. Lineage: Bacteria; Bacillati; Chloroflexota; Ardenticatenia; Ardenticatenales.
GCCGACAUGGCGCAAUGGUAGCGCACUGCACUUGUAAUGCAAAGGUUAUCGGUUCAAGUCCGAUUGUCGGCU